ACUUUUUUAAUAUAAACAAUAUAGAUGACUUCCACUCAUCCAAUUCCAGCCCAAACCUGGAAAAAAGUA
Molecule: transfer RNA, 69 nt
Filed under: Acanthodactylus erythrurus lineomaculatus
Lineage: Eukaryota; Metazoa; Chordata; Lepidosauria; Squamata; Lacertidae
Description: tRNA-Gly
Source: RNAcentral